This 365-nucleotide ribosomal RNA is filed under the name Cortinarius salor. RNAcentral describes it as "eukaryotic LSU rRNA". The stretch from base 1 to 105 matches the Rfam family "5.8S ribosomal RNA", at positions 50 to 154 of the family's 154-position model. Lineage: Eukaryota; Fungi; Basidiomycota; Agaricomycetes; Agaricales; Cortinariaceae. The record is from RNAcentral.
GAAAUGCGAUAAGUAAUGUGAAUUGCAGAAUUCAGUGAAUCAUCGAAUCUUUGAACGCACCUUGCGCUCCUUGGUAUUCCGAGGAGCAUGCCUGUUUGAGUGUCAUUAAUAUAUAUCAACUUCUUCAGCUUUUUGUUGAGUUGUUGGAUGUGGGGGUUUUCUUUUUUGCUGGCCUUUUUACUAAUAAAGGUCAGCUCCCCUGAAAUGUAUUAGCAGAACAAUCUGUUUGACUCAGUCGUUCAUUAGCGUGAUAAUUAUCUGUGCUAUUGAAUUGUUGAACAAGUUCAGCUUCUAAUAGUCCAUUGACUUGGACAAUUUUCAUUUAAUGUGACCUCAAAUCAGGUAGGACUACCCGCUGAACUUAA